RNAcentral lists this ribosomal RNA (2781 nucleotides) under Proteus mirabilis. RNAcentral describes it as "bacterial LSU rRNA". It matches the Rfam family "Bacterial large subunit ribosomal RNA". The record is from RNAcentral. Lineage: Bacteria; Pseudomonadati; Pseudomonadota; Gammaproteobacteria; Enterobacterales; Morganellaceae.
AUCUGGAACAAAGCGUACACGGUGGAUGCCUAGGCAAUCAGAGGCGAUGAAGGACGUGCUAAUCUGCGAAAAGCGUCGGUAAGGUGAUAUGAACCGUUAUACCCGACGAUAUCCGAAUGGGGAAACCCAGUAUCCAAUGGAUACUAUCAUUAACUGAAUCCAUAGGUUAAUGAGGCGAACCGGGAGAACUGAAACAUCUCAGUACCCCGAGGAAAAGAAAUCAACCGAGAUUCCCCUAGUAGCGGCGAGCGAACGGGGAGCAGCCCAGAGUCUUAAUCAAUAGCAGUGUCAGGAGAACGGUCUGGAAAGUCCGGCAGUAAAGGGUGAUAGCCCCGUAUCUGAAGAUGCUGUUAUUGUGAACUCGACGAGUAGGGCGGGACACGUGUUAUCCUGUCUGAAUAUGGGGGGACCAUCCUCCAAGGCUAAAUACUCCUGAUUGACCGAUAGUGAACCAGUACCGUGAGGGAAAGGCGAAAAGAACCCCGGCGAGGGGAGUGAAAAAGAACCUGAAACCGUGUACGUACAAGCAGUAGGAGCCUCUUUAUGGGGUGACUGCGUACCUUUUGUAUAAUGGGUCAGCGACUUAUAUUCUGUAGCAAGGUUAACCGUAUAGGGGAGCCGUAGGGAAACCGAGUCUUAACUGGGCGAAUGAGUUGCAGGGUAUAGACCCGAAACCCGGUGAUCUAUCCAUGGGCAGGUUGAAGGUUGGGUAACACUAACUGGAGGACCGAACCGACUAAUGUUGAAAAAUUAGCGGAUGACUUGUGGAUGGGGGUGAAAGGCCAAUCAAACCGGGAGAUAGCUGGUUCUCCCCGAAAGCUAUUUAGGUAGCGCCUCGUGAACUCAUCUUCGGGGGUAGAGCACUGUUUCGACUAGGGGGUCAUCCCGACUUACCAACUCGAUGCAAACUGCGAAUACCGAAGAAUGUUAUCACGGGAGACACACGGCGGGUGCUAACGUCCGUCGUGAAGAGGGAAACAACCCAGACCGCCAGCUAAGGUCCCAAAGUCAUGGUUAAGUGGGAAACGAAGUGGGAAGGCUCAGACAGCCAGGAUGUUGGCUUAGAAGCAGCCAUCAUUUAAAGAAAGCGUAAUAGCUCACUGGUCGAGUCGGCCCGCGCGGAAGAUGUAACGGGGCUAAACCAUGCACCGAAGCUGCGGCAGCGACACAAAGUGUUGUUGGGUAGGGGAGCGUUCUGUAAGCCUGCGAAGGUGUACUGUGAGGUAUGCUGGAGGUAUCAGAAGUGCGAAUGCUGACAUAAGUAACGAUAAUGCGGGUGAAAAACCCGCACGCCGGAAGACCAAGGGUUCCUGUCCAACGUUAAUCGGGGCAGGGUGAGUCGACCCCUAAGGCGAGGCUGAAAAGCGUAGUCGAUGGGAAACGGGUUAAUAUUCCCGUACUGGUGGUAACUGCGAUGGGGGAACGGAGAAGGCUAGGUUGUCCGGGCGACGGUCGUCCCGGUUCAAGCAGGUAGGCAGAGUGAUUAGGCAAAUCCGGUCACUUAAUGCUGAGAUGUGAUGACGAACCACUAAGGUGGUGAAGCAAUUGAUGCCCCGCUUCCAGGAAAAGCCUCUAAGCUUCAGGUUACCAACAAUCGUACCCCAAACCGACACAGGUGGUCAGGUAGAGAAUACUCAGGCGCUUGAGAGAACUCGGGUGAAGGAACUAGGCAAAAUGGUGCCGUAACUUCGGGAGAAGGCACGCUGGCGGUAGGUAAAGUCCCUCGCGGACGGCGCUGAAGCCAGUCGAAGAUACCAGCUGGCUGCAACUGUUUAUUAAAAACACAGCACUGUGCAAACACGAAAGUGGACGUAUACGGUGUGACGCCUGCCCGGUGCUGGAAGGUUAAUUGAUGGGGUCAGCCGCAAGGCGAAGCUCCUGAUCGAAGCCCCAGUAAACGGCGGCCGUAACUAUAACGGUCCUAAGGUAGCGAAAUUCCUUGUCGGGUAAGUUCCGACCUGCACGAAUGGCGUAAUGAUGGCCAGGCUGUCUCCACCCGAGACUCAGUGAAAUUGAACUCGCUGUGAAGAUGCAGUGUACCCGCGGCAAGACGGAAAGACCCCGUGAACCUUUACUAUAGCUUGACACUGAACAUUGAGCCUUGAUGUGUAGGAUAGGUGGGAGGCUUUGAAGUGUGGACGCCAGUCUGCAUGGAGCCAACCUUGAAAUACCACCCUUUAACGUUUGAUGUUCUAACCUAGGCCCAUAAACUGGGUCGGGGACCGUGUCUGGUGGGUAGUUUGACUGGGGCGGUCUCCUCCUAAAGAGUAACGGAGGAGCACGAAGGUUGGCUAAGCAUGGUCGGACAUCAUGCGGUUAGUGCAAAGGCAUAAGCCAGCUUGACUGCGAGAGUGACGGCUCGAGCAGGUACGAAAGUAGGUCUUAGUGAUCCGGUGGUUCUGAAUGGAAGGGCCAUCGCUCAACGGAUAAAAGGUACUCCGGGGAUAACAGGCUGAUACCGCCCAAGAGUUCAUAUCGACGGCGGUGUUUGGCACCUCGAUGUCGGCUCAUCACAUCCUGGGGCUGAAGUAGGUCCCAAGGGUAUGGCUGUUCGCCAUUUAAAGUGGUACGCGAGCUGGGUUUAGAACGUCGUGAGACAGUUCGGUCCCUAUCUGCCGUGGGCGUUGGAAGAUUGAGAGGGGUUGCUCCUAGUACGAGAGGACCGGAGUGAACGCACCACUGGUGUUCGGGUUGUCAUGCCAAUGGCAUUGCCCGGUAGCUAAGUGCGGAAGAGAUAACCGCUGAAAGCAUCUAAGCGGGAAACUUGCCUCGAGAUGAGUC